GUGAGGAAUAUUGGACAAUGGGCGCAAGCCUGAUCCAGUCAUGCCGCGUGCAGGAAGACGCAUCUAUGGUGUGUAAACUGCUUUUGUACGGGAAGAAACACUCCCUCGUGAGGGAGCUUGACGGUACCGUAAGAAUAAGGAUCGGCUAACUCCGUGUCAGCAGCCGCGGUAAUACGGAGGAUCCAAGCGUUAUCCGGAAUCAUUGGGUUUAAAGGGUCCGUAGGCGGUUUAAUAAGUCAGUGGUGAAAGCCCAUCGCUCAACGAUGGAACGGCCAUUGAUACUGUUAGACUUGAAUUACAAGGAAGUAACUAGAAUAUGUAGUGUAGCGGUGAAAUGCUUAGAUAUUACAUGGAAUACCAAUUGCGAAGGCAGGUUACUACUUGUGGAUUGACGCUGAUGGACGAAAGCGUGGGGAGCGAACAGGAUUAGAUACCCCUGUAGUCC
This 445-nucleotide ribosomal RNA is filed under the name uncultured bacterium. RNAcentral's name for it is "partial 16S ribosomal RNA". It matches the Rfam family "Bacterial small subunit ribosomal RNA", at positions 354 to 796 of the family's 1533-position model. The record is from RNAcentral.